AUACGUAGGGGGCGAGCGUUGUCCGGAAUGAUUGGGCGUAAAGGGCGCGUAGGCGGCGCGGUAAGUCUGGAGUGAAAGUCCUGCUUUCAAGGUGGGAAUUGCUUUGGAUACUGCCGCGCUUGAGUGCAGGAGAGGUUAUCGGAAUUCCCGGUGUAGCGGUGAAAUGCGUAGAGAUCGGGAGGAACACCAGUGGCGAAGGCGGGUAACUGGACUGCAACUGACGCUGAGGCGCGAAAGUGUGGGGAGCAAACAGGAUUAGAUACCCUGGUAGUCCACACUGUAAACGAUGAAUGCUAGGUGUAAGAGGUAUCGACCCCUUUUGUGCCGGAGUCAACACAAUAAGCAUUCCGCCUGGGGAGUACGGCCGCAAGGUUGAAACUAAAAGGAAUUGACGGGG
This 397-nucleotide ribosomal RNA is filed under the name uncultured bacterium. RNAcentral's name for it is "partial 16S ribosomal RNA". It matches the Rfam family "Bacterial small subunit ribosomal RNA", at positions 523 to 918 of the family's 1533-position model. The record is from RNAcentral.